GGGAAAUGUAGUCCAGAAACAUCUGAUGGUGUCAAGGUUAGCCAUCACUGAAUUAGGGCAAUGGAUGAUGCUGCGAGAUUGCAGUGCACUAUCCUCUACAUGCCAGUGGACAUAGUCACCCUGAUCCCCUUGACAAAGUCUCCCUGGGUUCUACUGUAUGUUAUCGUUAAUUUGAGCCAUGAGUCAUAUAUUCAGUAACAUAGAAUGUAUCAAGGUGUGUGCAUGUGUCACUGAGUUAAUAGUGUGUGUAAAUAGUUGCAAUAUGUUGUUAAUUAGUUGUAUUCCAUCAUAAUAAAAUGUCACGUCCUUGUUCAUACAUGUUUGGUGGCUGUUUGUGUGUGUGUGGUGGGGGUGAAGGGGUUCCGUGGCUGGUGAAGUCACCUAGCUCAAAUUUAUUUUACACGUUGUGAUGUCUGGCUUUAGUAGUGGCUAGAAUUAAAUCAAUCUAAUUGAAGGAAGCAGAGUGGUCAACUACUGACAUGUAGACAGGUAUAACCAUAGCCAAGUCCUGGUCAGGAUUAUGGAGGUCAAAACAAAUCUUAAAAACAAGUCGUUGGUCAAUACAGUCAGCAGACCGAACAUACCUUGGUCAGAGUAAAUGAAUGAAAAGUGACACAAUGGGGGGAGAAUUAUCAAAGUAACACUUAAACUGUUCCACCUAAAAUUUCUCAGAAAAGCCCCACCCUGGCUGCACCCCUAAUAUUACAAUGUCCCUCUUUGUUCAUUUGAAACAUUGGGGAGAAUGGAUAUAUACCGGUGAAACAUAAACUACCAGCUUGACCAUAUAUAUUGGCAAGAAAUUUCACAAUUUAAUAUUAAACUGUUGGACUAACGUAGUACUCCAACAAACCAGCUUCUUUCUAAUUCUUAGCCCACAUAAAGCAAG
Pelobates cultripes (western spadefoot toad) is the source of this 886-nucleotide non-coding RNA. The record is from the annotation of a GenBank genome assembly. Lineage: Eukaryota; Metazoa; Chordata; Amphibia; Anura; Pelobatidae.